This 374-nucleotide RNase P RNA is filed under the name Rubrobacter sp. RNAcentral's name for it is "RNase P RNA component class A". It matches the Rfam family "Bacterial RNase P class A". From Rfam's summary of the family: Ribonuclease P (RNase P) is a ubiquitous endoribonuclease, found in archaea, bacteria and eukarya as well as chloroplasts and mitochondria. Its best characterised activity is the generation of mature 5'-ends of tRNAs by cleaving the 5'-leader elements of precursor-tRNAs. RNAcentral also lists the same sequence under 1 other name. The record is from RNAcentral. Lineage: Bacteria; Bacillati; Actinomycetota; Rubrobacteria; Rubrobacterales; Rubrobacteraceae.
CGGGCCGUCCGACCCGUCGCUGCGUGCGGGGUUCUCCCCGUUCGUAGAGCAAAGUCCGGACUCGCAGCAGAGGCCGCUCGGGCCAACAACCCGAGGGGCGGGGGUCGCAAGCCCCCCGCCACGUCAAGUGCAACAGAGAGCAGACCAGCCGAUGGAUCGGGUCUCCCGGUCACAGGUGAUGGGUGAAAGGGUGGGGUAAGAGCCCACCGGCGGUAUCCCGAAAGGGACCGGCCAGGUAAACCACCGGUGCGAGCAAGCCAAAAACGUCUGGUCUCCAGGCAGGUAGGCGCAGCUCCGCAAGGAGCCCGGGGCGAAAGCCCUCGGAGAUGGAUGGCGGGAUAAAGCAGAAUCCGGCUUACGGGACGGCCCGGCCU